Cadophora sp. MPI-SDFR-AT-0126 is the source of this 93-nucleotide non-coding RNA. The record is from the annotation of a GenBank genome assembly. NCBI's taxonomy places the organism in Eukaryota, Fungi, Ascomycota, Leotiomycetes, Helotiales, Ploettnerulaceae.
GUAAAGAUGGCGCAAUGGUAGCGCGCGAGACUUCUAAUCUCACUCAGUGAAGUCUACAUCUCGAGGCUGUGGGUUCGAGUCCCACUUGGAGUG